UGGGGAAUCUUGCACAAUGGGGGAAACCCUGAUGCAGCGAUGCCGCGUGAGUGAAGAAGGCCUUUGGGUUGUAAAGCUCUUUCGUCGGGGAAGAAAAUGACUGUACCCGAAUAAGAAGGUCCGGCUAACUUCGUGCCAGCAGCCGCGGUAAUACGAAGGGACCUAGCGUAGUUCGGAAUUACUGGGCUUAAAGAGCUCGUAGGUGGUUAGAAAAGUUGGUGGUGAAAUCCCAAGGCUUAACCUUGGAACUGCUACUAAAACUUUUUAACUAGAGUGUGAUAGAGGAAAGCAGAAUUUCUAGUGUAGAGGUGAAAUUCGUAGAUAUUAGAAAGAAUACCAAUUGCGAAGGCAGCUUUCUGGAUCAUUACUGACACUGAGGAAAGCAUGGGAAGCGAAGAGG
Molecule: ribosomal RNA, 400 nt
Filed under: uncultured bacterium
Lineage: Bacteria
Description: bacterial SSU rRNA
Rfam family: Bacterial small subunit ribosomal RNA
Source: RNAcentral